GGGGAAUAUUGCGCAAUGGGCGCAAGCCUGAUGCAGCCAUGCCGCGUGUAUGAAGAAGGCCUUCGGGUUGUAAAGUACUUUCAGCGGGGAGGAAGGCGACGGGGUUAAUAACCCUGUCGAUUGACGUUACCCGCAGAAGAAGCACCGGCUAACUCCGUGCCAGCAGCCGCGGUAAUACGGAGGGUGCAAGCGUUAAUCGGAAUUACUGGGCGUAAAGCGCACGCAGGCGGUCUGUUAAGUCAGAUGUGAAAUCCCCGGGCUUAACCUGGGAACUGCAUUUGAAACUGGCAGGCUUGAGUCUUGUAGAGGGGGGUAGAAUUCCAGGUGUAGCGGUGAAAUGCGUAGAGAUCUGGAGGAAUACCGGUGGCGAAGGCGGCCCCCUGGACAAAGACUGACGCUCAGGUGCGAAAGCGUGGGGAGCAAAC
RNAcentral lists this ribosomal RNA (425 nucleotides) under uncultured bacterium. RNAcentral describes it as "bacterial SSU rRNA". It matches the Rfam family "Bacterial small subunit ribosomal RNA", at positions 356 to 773 of the family's 1533-position model. The record is from RNAcentral.